UACGUAGGGUGCGAGCGUUAUUCGGAAUUACUGGGCGUAAAGCGUGCGCAGGCGGUUUUGUAAGUCCGAUGUGAAAGCCCCGGGCUUAACCUGGGAAUGGCAUUUGGGACUGCAAGGCUUGAGUGCGGCAGAGGAGACUGGAAUUCCCGGUGUAGCAGUGAAAUGCGUAGAUAUCGGGAGGAAUACCGAUGGCGAAGGCAGGUCUCUGGGCUGACACUGACGCUCAUGCAGGAAAGCGUGGGGAGCAAACAGG
This 253-nucleotide ribosomal RNA is filed under the name uncultured bacterium. Its description in RNAcentral is "partial 16S ribosomal RNA". It matches the Rfam family "Bacterial small subunit ribosomal RNA", at positions 524 to 776 of the family's 1533-position model. The record is from RNAcentral.